AUAUCUCCUUCAUGAACUAUUAAAUUACUUUCAAAUUUUACCAAAAUUUUAAAAAUUAAGUCUAGUAUGUAUAAAAAAAAAUCACUUUAAUCCAAUCAACAAAUUAUUAAAGAUCUUAGAAAUACUCACUGAUCCUCAAACUCCAAUUUCUAAGACGUCAAGAAACCUUCAAAUUUAUAAACAUGUUUUUAUUUUUUAAAUCCUAAUCCUACUAAGAACAUUGUUAACUUUGAAAAUCUCUUAAAAUCUCAAUAUUGAUUCAAAUGACAUAAAAUCAAUGCCUAAAAAUCACUUUUCAUGUUUGCUCCCAAAU
Molecule: long non-coding RNA, 313 nt
Filed under: Physcomitrium patens
Lineage: Eukaryota; Viridiplantae; Streptophyta; Bryopsida; Funariales; Funariaceae
Description: long non-coding RNA (PPAT_LNC010614)
Source: RNAcentral